Molecule: long non-coding RNA, 1860 nt
Organism: Patiria miniata (bat star)
Lineage: Eukaryota; Metazoa; Echinodermata; Asteroidea; Valvatida; Asterinidae
Exons: 4
Source: RefSeq, a predicted model, not a curated record
AAGACGGGAAGCCUCAUACCCGGUACGGGGCUCGUCCUAUCAAGAUGCCAAAAUGCGUCGACCCAAGAAGUUCAACAUGGUGCCCGCAUUGAUUGGACUGAUUUUCUACAAAAAUGGAUUCAGUUCGGCAGUAAGCAGAGUAAUUUUUUUUCUUCAAAAUUCAAUAUUGCAAAAUAAACGGAGUUUCACUGAAACUGCCGAACUUGGCUAAAAUAAGCCUUCGUACUAAUUACCUCACACUUUGUUUACAUGUACGCUUUCUUAUGGGAGCCAGUUCGGGACACUGCUUUGUAGUCCCUUACAAAAAAGCACUUGUAAACAAAGUGUUACGACAUCAGUACAUAGGCUCAUUUGACCCAUCUCAAAUGGAUGCUGCCACAAUUAUUGUUUAUAACCUCCUCUUGCAGGUUCCCCUGGUGCCUUUCAUACAACUGGCCUGUGUAACGGGUCGUAUUCCACGAGAUACAUUGACAGAUAUGGUCGCGGAUAUGACGAUGAAAUCCGAAGGAUGAAAAAAGCUAUCGAGGUAGCAUUGGAACUAGGAUCAUCCAUUCCGGAUCCGAUGGCAAUGACAGAAGCAUCAGAAUCUGAGGAGUUUGACUCGAACGAAGAUUCCUCGGACGGAAGAUAGCUCAGGAGCGGAUGACGGUGAAAGCGAUGGUCCUGAUGACCAGCACUGACGGUACAUAGACGCCCUAGCAAUAUUGAUCAUAUUUAUCCGAAGAAGUUCUUCCACGAUUGAAAUUCGUGUACAAAACCAAUGAGAGAUGUUACUAAAAAGUUUGAGCACAAACAAAGGAAUCAGGAUAGGGACAAUAGGGGGUCCACGAUUGAAGCUAAACACACACUUGCAGGUUUUUCUCCACAAACUCAUUUCUAGUUAUAUUUCUGUCGUUGAUUAGUUUGGUUUGGAUGUUGCAGAUGGACCACAUGGAUACGUACUUUGCUGGGACAACGUCCAAGUGUCUGUUGAGAGGCGGCAUCGUACGUCAAUCUUCCAAAACCGCCUCUUACAGUGGGGUCUCGCCUUCGCAGCGAUAAAAUCGUAUCAACUGCGUCAUAGAGACCAACACCGGCAUGAACACAAUACACGCACAGUCUCUACCUUUGAGUGCGUUUCUUCCCCAAGCAGAGGAUUGGCUCGCCUUGCGAAGGAGAAUGGAAAUUCUCGUUGCACGCAUCAUCACACGUGGAUCCUUGACAGGUCUGGAGGCAAUUGGGGAAGGCACUACAACUGAACACAUUGCGCAUGAGUACACAGAGGAAUCCUGCCAAAAAAGUACACUGGGAACGAUUGGUAUUGUUCCGAAAAGUGCGAGGCAACAACGAAGAAGACCAACAAGAAGCCGGACUUUCUUCGAGAGUAUAAGCGGGCUCUUGCGUGGCAUGAAAUGUUUCAACUGGUCCACAAUGAUGCAGAACGUGAAAAUGAUGGGCCGUUUCUUAUCCGACUGUGGAAGCUAUGCGUCCCUCUGUUUUGGUCUAGGGGCCAUAACAAGUACCUCAUACUAGGCCAUCGGUUAUUGGCAGGUGUAAAUGGCUGGCUCGAACCAAGAGUGAAACACGACAUCAUUUGGAAUCGAACAUCGAAUUUGAGAGGUGGUGCAGGCAACAACUUAGCAUUGGAUUUAGUAAAUGAGUUUGAAAAUCUAGAGUUCAAAAAGUAAGUAUUGAAAAAUGGUGUUGGAAGAAAAUCCGCGUAGCUUUACAUAAUUUUUUUAAUCAUCUAGGAAAAUGUGAUUUAUAAAUUAUGUUUCUAUAUCAAAUUAUAAUACAUGUACAUUAUUUGUGCUGUUUGUCCAAAGUCCGUUUAGAAUUGGGGAAGGAAAACUUAAUUCAGUAACGAUAUUUUUUUUAUAG